UACGGGGGGAGCAAGCGUUGUUCGGAUUUACUGGGCGUAAAGGGCGGGUAGGCGGCCACCGCAAGUCAGUUGUGAAAUCUCUGGGCUUAACCCAGAAAGGUCAACUGAUACUGCGGGGCUAGAGUGCAGAAGGGGCAACUGGAAUUCUCGGUGUAGCGGUGAAAUGCGUAGAUAUCGAGAGGAACACCUGCGGCGAAGGCGGUUCUCUGGGCCUUACCUGACGCUGAGGAGCGAAAGCGUGGGGAGCAAACAGG
Molecule: ribosomal RNA, 254 nt
Filed under: uncultured bacterium
Lineage: Bacteria
Description: partial 16S ribosomal RNA
Rfam family: Bacterial small subunit ribosomal RNA
Source: RNAcentral